GAUUGUGAUGAUUGAUAGAUGUCGCCCCCGUCUUACAGCAUCUUCAUCCCUUGAUGCGAAAAUCAUGGUGAAUGACAUCAAUCUGAUUC
This is a non-coding RNA of Beta vulgaris subsp. vulgaris (sugar beet), 89 nucleotides long. The record is from Rfam. Lineage: Eukaryota; Viridiplantae; Streptophyta; Magnoliopsida; Caryophyllales; Amaranthaceae.